Molecule: long non-coding RNA, 636 nt
Organism: Solanum lycopersicum (tomato)
Lineage: Eukaryota; Viridiplantae; Streptophyta; Magnoliopsida; Solanales; Solanaceae
Source: RefSeq, a predicted model, not a curated record
AAAAGUCUCUCUCAAGCUCCAUCUCCAUUGAAGCUUUCCAUGUAUCACUUCAAGCUCCAUUGAAAGCCUUCCAAGUCUCCACUGCUAGUUUUUCAAGUCUCCAUUGCCCCUGCUGUUAUAACCUUAUCAUCAAGGCCUAGUUGAUAGUCACUUGAAGUAUGGCUUGAGAUAAAAUUCAUGGAAAAUUCUCAGGUGGGAUCAAUUCUGUUAUUCGUGUAAGCAUGACAACUAUUCCCAAGCCCACUAUAGUUUUUCCUCAACAAGAUGGUAUCCAAGCAAUAUUGAAACGUCAACUCAAACUAUCAGCCCCACUAUCUAUAAGACGCCUCCAACUACACCAAAUAAGAGUAACACAGUAGGCAAGAGUCUUUCUACUAAGAGCUAUGUUCCAUCAUGUUAUACCAAUGGAGUUGCUGAAGAUGAAUCCAACACAAGUCAUACAAGGACCCAUGUCUUUCCAACUUCUGCAGAGUUGGUCUAUUCUCUUGAUUGUAUUUCUGAACUUUUAUCUACUUACUGUGCUGAACACAUUGAAGAUAUUUUAGAUAGUAUUUCACUAUCAAAAUUUUUCAUAAGUGAUGUUGAUCCCAAUGGAAUCAAUUUAAAAGGUGUCUCAACGGUUGUAAGAAAUGGUUA